UACGUAGGUGGCAAGCGUUGUCCGGAUUUAUUGGGCGUAAAGAGCGCGCAGGCGGUUCGUUAAGUCCGAGGUGAAAUCUCCCGGCUCAACUGGGAGGGGUCUUCGGAUACUGGCGGACUUGAGGAGUGCAGAGGUGAGUGGAAUUCUGGGUGUAGUGGUGAAAUGCGUAGAUAUCCAGAGGAACACCAGCGGCGAAGGCGGCUCACUGGGCACCACCUGACGCUGAGGCGCGAAAGCGUGGGGAGCAAACAGG
RNAcentral lists this ribosomal RNA (253 nucleotides) under uncultured bacterium. Its description in RNAcentral is "partial 16S ribosomal RNA". It matches the Rfam family "Bacterial small subunit ribosomal RNA", at positions 524 to 776 of the family's 1533-position model. The record is from RNAcentral.